AUACGGAGGAUCCGAGCGUUAUCCGGAUUUAUUGGGUUUAAAGGGUGCGCAGGCGGGAGAUUAAGUCGGCGGUGAAAUUUUGCAGCUCAACUGUAAAAGUGCCUUCGAAACUGGUUUCCUUGAGUGUAGAUGAAGUAGGCGGAAUUUGUGGUGUAGCGGUGAAAUGCAUAGAUAUCACGAGGAACUCCGAUUGCGCAGGCAGCUUACUAAACUACUACUGACGCUCAGGCACGAAGGCGUGGGGAUCAAACAGGAUUAGAUACCCUGGUAGUCCACGCAGUAAACGAUGAUUACUAGCUGUUUGCGAUACAAUGUAAGCGGCUGAGCGAAAGCGUUAAGUAAUCCACCUGGGGAGUACGUUCGCAAGAAUGAAACUCAAAGGAAUUGACGGGG
Molecule: ribosomal RNA, 393 nt
Filed under: uncultured bacterium
Lineage: Bacteria
Description: partial 16S ribosomal RNA
Rfam family: Bacterial small subunit ribosomal RNA
Source: RNAcentral